UACGUAGGCAGCGAGCGUUGUUCGGAAUUACUGGGCGUAAAGAGUGUGUAGGCGGUGCUCUAAGUUCGGUGUGAAAUCUCCUGGCUUAACUGGGAGGGUGCGCCGGAAACUGGAGUGCUUGAGCGUGGGAGAGGAAAGCGGAAUUCCUGGUGUAGCGGUGAAAUGCGUAGAUAUCAGGAGGAACACCGGUGGCGAAGGCGGUUCUCUGGGCCUUACCUGACACUGAGGAGCGAAAGCGUGGGGAGCGAACAGG
This 253-nucleotide ribosomal RNA is filed under the name uncultured bacterium. RNAcentral describes it as "partial 16S ribosomal RNA". It matches the Rfam family "Bacterial small subunit ribosomal RNA", at positions 524 to 776 of the family's 1533-position model. The record is from RNAcentral.